GACGAACGCUGGCGGCGUGCUUAACACAUGCAAGUCGAACGAAGAGCGAUGGAAGCUUGCUUCUAUCAAUCUUAGUGGCGAACGGGUGAGUAACGCGUAAUCAACCUGCCCUUCAGAGGGGGACAACAGUUGGAAACGACUGCUAAUACCGCAUACGAUCUAAUCUCGGCAUCGAGGAUAGAUGAAAGGUGGCCUCUACAUGUAAGCUAUCACUGAAGGAGGGGAUUGCGUCUGAUUAGCUAGUUGGAGGGGUAACGGCCCACCAAGGCGAUGAUCAGUAGCCGGUCUGAGAGGAUGAACGGCCACAUUGGGACUGAGACACGGCCCAGACUCCUACGGGAGGCAGCAGUGGGGAAUCUUCCGCAAUGGACGAAAGGCUGACGGAGCAACGCCGCGUGAGCGAUGACGGCCUUCGGGUUGUAAAGCUCUGUUAAUCGGGACGAAAGGCCUUCUUGCGAAUAGUGAGAAGGAUUGACGGUACCGGAAGAGAAAGCCACGGCUAACUACGUG
This 510-nucleotide ribosomal RNA is filed under the name uncultured bacterium. RNAcentral's name for it is "partial 16S ribosomal RNA". It matches the Rfam family "Bacterial small subunit ribosomal RNA", at positions 28 to 507 of the family's 1533-position model. The record is from RNAcentral.